Molecule: transfer RNA, 75 nt
Filed under: Thermus antranikianii
Lineage: Bacteria; Thermotogati; Deinococcota; Deinococci; Thermales; Thermaceae
Also listed under: 4 other names
Description: tRNA-Gly
Rfam family: tRNA
About the family: Transfer RNA (tRNA) molecules are approximately 80 nucleotides in length. Their secondary structure includes four short double-helical elements and three loops (D, anti-codon, and T loops). Further hydrogen bonds mediate the characteristic L-shaped molecular structure. tRNAs have two regions of fundamental functional importance: the anti-codon, which is responsible for specific mRNA codon recognition, and the 3' end, to which the tRNAs corresponding amino acid is attached (by aminoacyl-tRNA synthetases). tRNAs cope with the degeneracy of the genetic code in two manners: having more than one tRNA (with a specific anti-codon) for a particular amino acid; and 'wobble' base-pairing, i.e. permitting non-standard base-pairing at the 3rd anti-codon position.
Source: RNAcentral
GCGGGCGUAGUUCAGCGGUAGAACGCCAGCUUCCCAAGCUGGAUGUCGUGGGUUCGACUCCCAUCGCCCGCUCCA